CUCCUUUUCACACACGUUAAAUGAACAAUAAGUGAAGUUCGCAGUUCCACUCCCUCCUGCCCCCUCCCCUCCAUACUGCUAUCCUCCAACUGUCCCUGUUAAGGCAUCCUCUGAUGAUCCAGUCAAUCCAAAAGAAAAUAGAAGACUACUGUGACUACUGUGCAUAGGCAAACCCUUCUCGGCAGCUGCAGAUCCUGAGACCCACGGCGGAACCUGAGACAGAAGAGAGAAAAGGUGAAAGAUCAGGCUCACACUACUCUGUGACUCGAGGCUGGGAGGCAUCCUAAUCCUCAGCCAAGGGGGAUUCCAAUGGUCUUCACCCUGGGUUAGCAACCAUUGCUUCAGGGAAGAAGUCGA
Molecule: long non-coding RNA, 357 nt
Organism: Toxotes jaculatrix (banded archerfish)
Lineage: Eukaryota; Metazoa; Chordata; Actinopteri; Toxotidae
Exons: 3
Source: RefSeq, a predicted model, not a curated record